AAGUCGUAACAAGGUCUCCGUUGGUGAACCAGCGGAGGGAUCAUUACCGAGUUUACAACUCCCAAACCCAAUGUGAACGUUACCAAACUGUUGCCUCGGCGGGAUUCUCAAGCCCCGGGCGCGUCGCAGCCCCGGACCAAGGCGCCCGCCGGAGGACCAACCAAAACUCUUUUUGUAUACCCCCUCGCGGGUUUUUUAUAAUCUGAGCCUUCUCGGCGCCUCUCGUAGGCGUUUCGAAAAUGAAUCAAAACUUUCAACAACGGAUCUCUUGGUUCUG
This 277-nucleotide unclassified non-coding RNA is filed under the name Trichoderma sp. Its description in RNAcentral is "partial internal transcribed spacer region". The stretch from base 1 to 46 matches the Rfam family "Eukaryotic small subunit ribosomal RNA", at positions 1786 to 1831 of the family's 1831-position model. Lineage: Eukaryota; Fungi; Ascomycota; Sordariomycetes; Hypocreales; Hypocreaceae. The record is from RNAcentral.